ACUGGUUCUACUUCAAUAGUGAAGUCAACUCCUCUCUUGGGCGGUGGUCCCGUCAAUGGCUCAAAUACGUCCGCGUAUUCAUUUGCCAUAGGUAUCUCCUCGAGGCUUUUAUAUGCUCCCUCUCCAACCAUGGAAAUUGUUGCCAAGAAAGGUUCACAUCCUUCCUCCAUAUCCCGUGUCGGCCUUCACUCCUUGAGAGACUUUCCGACCUUCUUGAUGCAGAGCAUAAGCC
This 232-nucleotide long non-coding RNA is filed under the name Eutrema salsugineum. Its description in RNAcentral is "long non-coding RNA (ESAL_LNC000322)". Lineage: Eukaryota; Viridiplantae; Streptophyta; Magnoliopsida; Brassicales; Brassicaceae. The record is from RNAcentral.